RNAcentral lists this ribosomal RNA (253 nucleotides) under uncultured bacterium. RNAcentral's name for it is "partial 16S ribosomal RNA". It matches the Rfam family "Bacterial small subunit ribosomal RNA", at positions 524 to 776 of the family's 1533-position model. The record is from RNAcentral.
UACGUAGGGUGCAAGCGUUGUCCGGAAUUAUUGGGCGUAAAGAGCUCGUAGGCGGCUUGUCACGUCGGGUGUGAAAGCUCGGGGCUUAACCCCGGGUCUGCAUUCGAUACGGGCUGGCUGGAGUGUGGUAGGGGAGAUCGGAAUUCCUGGUGUAGCGGUGAAAUGCGCAGAUAUCAGGAGGAACACCGGUGGCGAAGGCGGAUCUCUGGGCCAUUACUGACGCUGAGGAGCGAAAGCGUGGGGAGCGAACAGG